RNAcentral lists this ribosomal RNA (433 nucleotides) under uncultured bacterium. Its description in RNAcentral is "partial 16S ribosomal RNA". It matches the Rfam family "Bacterial small subunit ribosomal RNA", at positions 29 to 507 of the family's 1533-position model. The record is from RNAcentral.
AAUGAACGCUGGCGGCAUGCCUAACACAUGCAAGUCGAACGAAGGCUUCGGCCUUAGUGGCGCACGGGUGCGUAACGCGUGGGAAUCUGCCCUUGGGUUCGGAAUAACAGUUAGAAAUGACUGCUAAUACCGGACGAUGUCGUAAGACCAAAGAUUUAUCGCCCAAGGAUGAGCCCGCGUAGGAUUAGCUAGUUGGUGGGGUAAAGGCCUACCAAGGCGACGAUCCUUAGCUGGUCUGAGAGGAUGAUCAGCCACACUGGGACUGAGACACGGCCCAGACUCCUACGGGAGGCAGCAGUGGGGAAUAUUGGACAAUGGGCGAAAGCCUGAUCCAGCAAUGCCGCGUGAGUGAUGAAGGCCUUAGGGUUGUAAAGCUCUUUUACCCGGGAUGAUAAUGACAGUACCGGGAGAAUAAGCUCCGGCUAACUUCGUG